GGUAGUUUACUACUAGAAAUGACUGAGCGGCGAACGGGUGAGUAACGCGUGAGCAAUCUACCUUAGUUACUGGGAUAGCCCGAGGAAACUCGGAUUAAUACCGGAUAUUCUUAUUUUUUCACAUGAAGUUUUAAGGAAAGGUCAGCCGAACUAAGAUGAGCUCGCGUUCUAUCAGCUAGUUGGUGGGGUAAAAGCCUACCAAGGCUACGACGGAUAGCUGGUCUGAGAGGACGAUCAGCCACACUGGGACUGAGACACGGCCCAGACUCCUACGGGAGGCUGCAGCAGGGAAUAUUGUGCAAUGAGCGAAAGCUUGACACAGCGACACCGCGUGUGGGAUGACGGUUCUAGGAUCGUAAACCACUUUCAGGAGGGAAGAAAAUGACGGUACCUCCACAAGAAGACCCGGCCAACUAUGUGCCAGCAGCCGCGGUAAUACAUAGGGGUCAAGCGUUGUCCGGAUUUAUUGGGCGUAAAGAGCUCGUAGGCGGUUCAACAAGUCGGUCGUAAAAGUUUAGGGCUCAACCCCUAAAAUGUCGAUCGAUACUGUUGUGACUAGGAUACGGUAGAGGUGAAUGGAAUUCCGAGUGUAGCGGUGAAAUGCGUAGAAAUUCGGAGGAACACCAAUUGCGAAGGCAGUUCACCUGGACCGUGAUCGACGCUGAGGAGCGAAAGCUAGGGGAGCAAACAGGAUUAGAUACCCUGGUAGUCCUAGCUGUAAACGAUGGAUACUAGAUGUAAGAACUGGACUGACGGUUUCUGUAUCGUAGCUAACGCCGUUAAGUAUCCCGCCUGGGGAGUACGGUCGCAAGACUAAAACUCAAAGGAAUUGA
RNAcentral lists this ribosomal RNA (833 nucleotides) under uncultured marine bacterium. Its description in RNAcentral is "bacterial SSU rRNA". It matches the Rfam family "Bacterial small subunit ribosomal RNA", at positions 74 to 913 of the family's 1533-position model. The record is from RNAcentral.